GAUGAACGCUGGCGGCGUGCUUAACACAUGCAAGUCGAACGAAGCAUUUAAGACAGAUUACUUCGGUUUGAGGUCUUUUAUGACUGAGUGGCGGACGGGUGAGUAACGCGUGGGUAACCUGCCUCAUACAGGGGGAUAGCAGCUGGAAACGGCUGGUAAUACCGCAUAAGCGCACAGUACCACAUGGUACAGUGUGAAAAACUCCGGUGGUAUGAGAUGGACCCGCGUCUGAUUAGCUUGUGGGCGGGGUAACGGCCCACCAAGGCGACGAGCAGUAGCCGACCGGAGAGGGUGACCGGCCACAUUGGGACUGAGACACGGCCCAGACUCCGACGGGAGGCAGCAGUGGGGAAUAUUGCACAAUGGAGGAAACUCUGAUGCAGCGACGCCGCGUGAGUGAAGAAGUAGUUCGCUAUGUAAAGCUCUAUCAGCAGGGAAGAUAGUGACGGUACCUGACUAAGAAGCUCCGGCUAAAUACGUG
This 481-nucleotide ribosomal RNA is filed under the name uncultured bacterium. RNAcentral describes it as "partial 16S ribosomal RNA". It matches the Rfam family "Bacterial small subunit ribosomal RNA", at positions 28 to 507 of the family's 1533-position model. The record is from RNAcentral.